This 764-nucleotide ribosomal RNA is filed under the name Coreomyces sp. 2 HS-2019. RNAcentral describes it as "partial large subunit ribosomal RNA". It matches the Rfam family "Eukaryotic large subunit ribosomal RNA", at positions 89 to 844 of the family's 3401-position model. The record is from RNAcentral. Lineage: Eukaryota; Fungi; Ascomycota; Laboulbeniomycetes; Laboulbeniales; Laboulbeniaceae.
GCGAGCGAACCGGCAUAGCUCAAAUUUGAAAUCUGGCGAAAGCCCGAGUUGUAAUUUGUAGAGGAUGCUUUUGGCAGAGCCGCGGGUUCAAGUGCCCUGGAAUGGGUUGCCAUCAUAGAGGGUGAGAGUCCCGUAUGUCGGCUCGCGGUAGACGCCAGUCAAAGCUCCUUCGACGAGUCGAGUUGUUUGGGAAUGCAGCUCUAAUUGGGAGGUAAAUUCCUUCUAAAGCUAAAUAUGGGCCAGAGACCGAUAGCGAACAAGUAGAGUGAUCGAAAGAUGAAAAGUACAGUGAAAACUGGGUGAAAUAGUACGUGAAAUUGUUGAAAGGGAAGCGCUUGCAAUCAGACAUUGCAGCAACGGGCUGAACCUUGUGUUCAUAAGUUGCUUGUGGGCUAGCAUCAGUUUGAGUGGUGGUAGAAAGGCGAGGGGAAUGUGGCUCGGGUGGGUUUGCGCCCAGAUCGAGUGUUUAUAGCCCCUCGCGCCAUGCCACCUACCUAGACUGAGGGUUUGCGCGGGGUUUCCCCGCAAGGAUGCUGGCGUAAUGGUUGUAAGCGGCCCGUCUUGAAACACGGACCAAGGAGUCUAACAUCUGCGCGAGUGUUUAGGUGUCAAGCCUAUGCGCGUAAUGAAAGUAAACGUAGGUGGGAAACCAUCGGUCCUCGCGGACUGAGGUGGCACCAUCGACCGAUCCGGAUGUUUUCGGAUGGAUUUGAGUAAGAGCGCAGCUGUUGGGACCCGAAAGAUGGUGAACUAUGCCUGUGUAG